RNAcentral lists this ribosomal RNA (2355 nucleotides) under Klebsiella oxytoca. Its description in RNAcentral is "bacterial LSU rRNA". It matches the Rfam family "Bacterial large subunit ribosomal RNA", at positions 591 to 2925 of the family's 2925-position model. The record is from RNAcentral. Lineage: Bacteria; Pseudomonadati; Pseudomonadota; Gammaproteobacteria; Enterobacterales; Enterobacteriaceae.
GGGUGACUGCGUACCUUUUGUAUAAUGGGUCAGCGACUUAUAUUCUGUAGCAAGGUUAACCGUAUAGGGGAGCCGCAGGGAAACCGAGUCUUAACUGGGCGUUAAGUUGCAGGGUAUAGACCCGAAACCCGGUGAUCUAGCCAUGGGCAGGUUGAAGGUUGGGUAACACUAACUGGAGGACCGAACCGACUAAUGUUGAAAAAUUAGCGGAUGACUUGUGGCUGGGGGUGAAAGGCCAAUCAAACCGGGAGAUAGCUGGUUCUCCCCGAAAGCUAUUUAGGUAGCGCCUCGUGAAUUCAUCUUCGGGGGUAGAGCACUGUUUCGGCUAGGGGGUCAUCCCGACUUACCAACCCGAUGCAAACUACGAAUACCGAAGAAUGUUAUCACGGGAGACACACGGCGGGUGCUAACGUCCGUCGUGAAGAGGGAAACAACCCAGACCGCCAGCUAAGGUCCCAAAGUCAUGGUUAAGUGGGAAACGAUGUGGGAAGGCCCAGACAGCCAGGAUGUUGGCUUAGAAGCAGCCAUCAUUUAAAGAAAGCGUAAUAGCUCACUGGUCGAGUCGGCCUGCGCGGAAGAUGUAACGGGGCUAAACCAUGCACCGAAGCUGCGGCAGCGACACUAUGUGUUGUUGGGUAGGGGAGCGUUCUGUAAGCCGUUGAAGGUGGCCUGUGAGGGUUGCUGGAGGUAUCAGAAGUGCGAAUGCUGACAUAAGUAACGAUAAUGCGGGUGAAAAACCCGCACGCCGGAAGACCAAGGGUUCCUGUCCAACGUUAAUCGGGGCAGGGUGAGUCGACCCCUAAGGCGAGGCCGAAAGGCGUAGUCGAUGGGAAACAGGUUAAUAUUCCUGUACUCGGUGUUACUGCGAAGGGGGGACGGAGAAGGCUAUGUUGGCCGGGCGACGGUUGUCCCGGUUUAAGCAUGUAGGCGGAUGUUCCAGGUAAAUCCGGAACGUUACUAACGCUGAGGUGUGAUGACGAGGCACUACGGUGCUGAAGUGACAAAUGCCCUGCUUCCAGGAAAAGCCUCUAAGCAUCAGGUAACAUCAAAUCGUACCCCAAACCGACACAGGUGGUCAGGUAGAGAAUACCAAGGCGCUUGAGAGAACUCGGGUGAAGGAACUAGGCAAAAUGGUGCCGUAACUUCGGGAGAAGGCACGCUGAUGGUAGGUGAAGCGACUUGCUCGUGGAGCUGAAAUCAGUCGAAGAUACCAGCUGGCUGCAACUGUUUAUUAAAAACACAGCACUGUGCAAACACGAAAGUGGACGUAUACGGUGUGACGCCUGCCCGGUGCCGGAAGGUUAAUUGAUGGGGUUAUCCGUAAGGAGAAGCUCUUGAUCGAAGCCCCGGUAAACGGCGGCCGUAACUAUAACGGUCCUAAGGUAGCGAAAUUCCUUGUCGGGUAAGUUCCGACCUGCACGAAUGGCGUAAUGAUGGCCAGGCUGUCUCCACCCGAGACUCAGUGAAAUUGAACUCGCUGUGAAGAUGCAGUGUACCCGCGGCAAGACGGAAAGACCCCGUGAACCUUUACUAUAGCUUGACACUGAACACUGGUCCUUGAUGUGUAGGAUAGGUGGGAGGCUUUGAAGUGUGGACGCCAGUCUGCAUGGAGCCAUCCUUGAAAUACCACCCUUUAAUGGCUGGUGUUCUAACGUGGGCCCCUAAUCGGGGUUGCGGACAGUGUCUGGUGGGUAGUUUGACUGGGGCGGUCUCCUCCUAAAGAGUAACGGAGGAGCACGAAGGUCAGCUAAUCCUGGUCGGACAUCAGGAGGUUAGUGCAAUGGCAUAAGCUGGCUUGACUGCGAGCGUGACGGCGCGAGCAGGUGCGAAAGCAGGUCAUAGUGAUCCGGUGGUUCUGAAUGGAAGGGCCAUCGCUCAACGGAUAAAAGGUACUCCGGGGAUAACAGGCUGAUACCGCCCAAGAGUUCAUAUCGACGGCGGUGUUUGGCACCUCGAUGUCGGCUCAUCACAUCCUGGGGCUGAAGUAGGUCCCAAGGGUAUGGCUGUUCGCCAUUUAAAGUGGUACGCGAGCUGGGUUUAGAACGUCGUGAGACAGUUCGGUCCCUAUCUGCCGUGGGCGCUGGAGAAUUGAGGGGGGCUGCUCCUAGUACGAGAGGACCGGAGUGGACGCAUCACUGGUGUUCGGGUUGUCAUGCCAAUGGCAUUGCCCGGUAGCUAAAUGCGGAAGAGAUAAGUGCUGAAAGCAUCUAAGCACGAAACUUGCCCCGAGAUGAGUUCUCCCUGACCCUUUAAGGGUCCUGAAGGAACGUUGAAGACGACGACGUUGAUAGGCCGGGUGUGUAAGCGCAGCGAUGCGUUGAGCUAACCGGUACUAAUGAACCGUGAGGCUUAACC